GCAAGGGGGAAGCCCCGGGGGGCUGCCCCUACCCUGUAACCGCAAAUGGGGCUUAUGGCGGGGGGCGUUAACCUUGGGGGCGCCUGGUCCUCUUCACGAAACGGCCUAGAUGCUGGAAUGUUGAAUCUCAGUCCCGUGGGGCGUUCCGUGGUGCUAGGCUUCUCGGAGGAGGAGCCGAAGCACCGUUUAAGCCGAAGCGGGUUAGGCCCGGAAGGGAGCGGCCCUAAGGCUUACGGGGCGCGUUCACGGGGGUACUGGGAGGAGUUCCAGCAUCUAGGUACGUCGUGAAUGACAGGCCACCUCAAGGGAUGCCCUUGC
RNAcentral lists this signal recognition particle RNA (318 nucleotides) under Thermofilum sp. ex4484_79. RNAcentral's name for it is "signal recognition particle sRNA". It matches the Rfam family "Archaeal signal recognition particle RNA". The record is from RNAcentral. Lineage: Archaea; Thermoproteati; Thermoproteota; Thermoprotei; Thermofilales; Thermofilaceae.